RNAcentral lists this transfer RNA (67 nucleotides) under Myocastor coypus (nutria). RNAcentral's name for it is "tRNA-Phe". It matches the Rfam family "tRNA". From Rfam's summary of the family: Transfer RNA (tRNA) molecules are approximately 80 nucleotides in length. Their secondary structure includes four short double-helical elements and three loops (D, anti-codon, and T loops). Lineage: Eukaryota; Metazoa; Chordata; Mammalia; Rodentia; Myocastoridae. The record is from RNAcentral.
GUUAAUGUAGCUUAUCAUAAAGCAAGGCACUGAAAAUGCCUAGAUGAGUAGUAUUACUCCAUAAACA